Zootoca vivipara (common lizard) is the source of this 73-nucleotide non-coding RNA. NCBI's taxonomy places the organism in Eukaryota, Metazoa, Chordata, Lepidosauria, Squamata, Lacertidae. The record is from the annotation of a RefSeq genome assembly.
GCCGAGAUGGCUCAGUUGGUAGAGCAUGAGACUCUGAAUCUCAGGGGCAUGGGUUCGAACCCCACAUUGGGCA